RNAcentral lists this ribosomal RNA (501 nucleotides) under uncultured bacterium. Its description in RNAcentral is "partial 16S ribosomal RNA". It matches the Rfam family "Bacterial small subunit ribosomal RNA", at positions 30 to 523 of the family's 1533-position model. The record is from RNAcentral.
AUUGAACGCUGGCGGCAUGCCUUACACAUGCAAGUCGAACGGCAGCACGGGUGCUUGCACCUGGUGGCGAGUGGCGAACGGGUGAGUAAUAUAUCGGAACGUACCCUAUUGUGGGGGAUAACGCAGCGAAAGCUGUGCUAAUACCGCAUAAUCCCUAAGGGGGAAAGCGGGGGACCGUAAGGCCUCGCGCAGUUAGAGCGGCCGAUACCUGAUUAGCUAGUUGGUGAGGUAAAGGCUCACCAAGGCAACGAUCAGUAGCUGGUCUGAGAGGACGAUCAGCCACACUGGGACUGAGACACGGCCCAGACUCCUACGGGAGGCAGCAGUGGGGAAUUUUGGACAAUGGGGGCAACCCUGAUCCAGCAAUGCCGCGUGAGUGAAGAAGGCCUUCGGGUUGUAAAGCUCUUUUGUCAGGGAAGAAACAGCAGCUCUAACACAGUUUGCGAAUGACGGUACCUGAAGAAUAAGCACCGGCUAACUACGUGCCAGCAGCCGCGGUAA